Molecule: non-coding RNA, 73 nt
Organism: Schistocerca nitens (vagrant locust)
Lineage: Eukaryota; Metazoa; Arthropoda; Insecta; Orthoptera; Acrididae
Source: the annotation of a RefSeq genome assembly
ACUGAGGUGGUGUAAUGGUUAGCAUUUCUGCCUAGAAAGCAAGAAGACCCGGGUUCGAGUCCCGGCCUCAUCA